GCCGGGCGCGGUGGCUCACGCCUGUAAUCCCAGCACUUUGGGAGGCUGAGGUGGGUGGAUCACUUGAGGUCAGGAGUUCGGGACCAGCCUGGCCAACAUGGUGAAACCCCGUCUCUA
Molecule: small RNA, 117 nt
Filed under: Macaca fascicularis (crab-eating macaque)
Lineage: Eukaryota; Metazoa; Chordata; Mammalia; Primates; Cercopithecidae
Description: Metazoan signal recognition particle RNA (ENSMFAG00000047992.1)
Source: Rfam by way of RNAcentral